RNAcentral lists this ribosomal RNA (254 nucleotides) under uncultured bacterium. RNAcentral describes it as "partial 16S ribosomal RNA". It matches the Rfam family "Bacterial small subunit ribosomal RNA", at positions 524 to 776 of the family's 1533-position model. The record is from RNAcentral.
UACGUAGGGGGCGAGCGUUGUCCGGAUUUAUUGGGCGUAAAGAGCUCGUAGGCGGUUUCGUAAGUCGGAUGUGAAAACUCCAGGCUCAACUUGGAGACGCCAUUCGAUACUGCGAUGACUUGAGUCCGGUAGGGGAGUGUGGAAUUCCUGGUGUAGCGGUGAAAUGCGUAGAUAUUGGGAGGAACACCAGUGGCGAAGGCGGCUCACUGGACCGGUUCUGACGCUGAGGCGCGAAAGCGUGGGGAGCAAACGGG